UAACACAUGCAAGUCGAGCGGAAACGAGUUAUCUGAACCUUCGGGGAACGAUAACGGCGUCGAGCGGCGGACGGGUGAGUAAUGCCUAGGAAAUUGCCCUGAUGUGGGGGAUAACCAUUGGAAACGAUGGCUAAUACCGCAUGAUGCCUACGGGCCAAAGAGGGGGACCUUCGGGCCUCUCGCGUCAGGAUAUGCCUAGGUGGGAUUAGCUAGUUGGUGAGGUAAGGGCUCACCAAGGCGACGAUCCCUAGCUGGUCUGAGAGGAUGAUCAGCCACACUGGAACUGAGACACGGUCCAGACUCCUACGGGAGGCAGCAGUGGGGAAUAUUGCACAAUGGGCGCAAGCCUGAUGCAGCCAUGCCGCGUGUGUGAAGAAGGCCUUCGGGUUGUAAAGCACUUUCAGUCGUGAGGAAGGUGGUGUAGUUAAUAGCUGCAUUAUUUGACGUUAGCGACAGAAGAAGCACCGGCUAACUCCGUGCCAGCAGCCGCGGUAAUACGGAGGGUGCGAGCGUUAAUCGGAAUUACUGGGCGUAAAGCGCAUGCAGGUGGUUUGUUAAGUCAGAUGUGAAAGCCCGGGGCUCAACCUCGGAAUAGCAUUUGAAACUGGCAGACUAGAGUACUGUAGAGGGGGGUAGAAUUUCAGGUGUAGCGGUGAAAUGCGUAGAGAUCUGAAGGAAUACCGGUGGCGAAGGCGGCCCCCUGGACAGAUACUGACACUCAGAUGCGAAAGCGUGGGGAGCAAACAGGAUUAGAUACCCUGGUAGUCCACGCCGUAAACGAUGUCUACUUGGAGGUUGUGGCCUUGAGCCGUGGCUUUCGGAGCUAACGCGUUAAGUAGACCGCCUGGGGAGUACGGUCGCAAGAUUAAAACUCAAAUGAAUUGACGGGGGCCCGCACAAGCGGUGGAGCAUGUGGUUUAAUUCGAUGCAACGCGAAGAACCUUACCUACUCUUGACAUCCAGAGAACUUUCCAGAGAUGGAUUGGUGCCUUCGGGAACUCUGAGACAGGUGCUGCAUGGCUGUCGUCAGCUCGUGUUGUGAAAUGUUGGGUUAAGUCCCGCAACGAGCGCAACCCUUAUCCUUGUUUGCCAGCGAGUAAUGUCGGGAACUCCAGGGAGACUGCCGGUGAUAAACCGGAGGAAGGUGGGGACGACGUCAAGUCAUCAUGGCCCUUACGAGUAGGGCUACACACGUGCUACAAUGGCGCAUACAGAGGGCGGCCAACUUGCGAAAGUGAGCGAAUCCCAAAAAGUGCGUCGUAGUCCGGAUUGGAGUCUGCAACUCGACUCCAUGAAGUCGGAAUCGCUAGUAAUCGUGGAUCAGAAUGCCACGGUGAAUACGUUCCCGGGCCUUGUACACACCGCCCGUCACACCAUGGGAGUGGGCUGCAAAAGAAGUAGGUAGUUUAACCUUCGGGGGGACGCUUACCACUU
RNAcentral lists this ribosomal RNA (1434 nucleotides) under Vibrio alginolyticus. RNAcentral describes it as "bacterial SSU rRNA". It matches the Rfam family "Bacterial small subunit ribosomal RNA". Lineage: Bacteria; Pseudomonadati; Pseudomonadota; Gammaproteobacteria; Vibrionales; Vibrionaceae. The record is from RNAcentral.